RNAcentral lists this ribosomal RNA (253 nucleotides) under uncultured bacterium. Its description in RNAcentral is "partial 16S ribosomal RNA". It matches the Rfam family "Bacterial small subunit ribosomal RNA", at positions 524 to 776 of the family's 1533-position model. The record is from RNAcentral.
UACGUAGGGGGCUAGCGUUGUCCGGAUUUAUUGGGCGUAAAGAGCGUGUAGGCGGCCAAGCAGGUCAGCUGUGAAAACUCGAGGCUCAACCUCGAGACGUCGGUUGAAACCGUUUGGCUAGAGUCCGGAAGAGGAGAGUGGAAUUCCCGGUGUAGCGGUGAAAUGCGCAGAUAUCGGGAAGAACACCCGUGGCGAAGGCGGCUCUCUGGGACGGUACUGACGCUGAGACGCGAAAGCGUGGGGAGCGAACAGG